AUUGAACGCUGGCGGCAUGCUUUACACAUGCAAGUCGUACGGCAGCGCGGGCUUCGGCCUGGCGGCGAGUGGCGAACGGGUGAGUAAUACAUCGGAACGUGCCCAGUAGUGGGGGAUAGCUCGGCGAAAGCCGGAUUAAUACCGCAUACGACCUGAGGGUGAAAGCGGGGGAUCUUCGGACCUCGCGCUAUUGGAGGGGCCGAUGGCAGAUUAGCUAGUUGGUGGGGUAAAGGCCUACCAAGGCGACGAUCUGUAGCUGGUCUGAGAGGACGACCAGCCACACUGCGACUGAGACACGACCCAGACUCCUACGGGAGGCAGCAGUGGGGAAUUUUGGACAAUGGGCGAAAGCCUGAUCCAGCAAUGCCGCGUGUGUGAUGAAGGCCUUCGGGUUUUAAAGCACUUUUGGCGGGAACGAAAAGGACUGUGCCAAUACCACGGUUCGAUGACGUUACCCGCAGAAUAAGCACCGGCUAACUACGUG
Molecule: ribosomal RNA, 484 nt
Filed under: uncultured bacterium
Lineage: Bacteria
Description: partial 16S ribosomal RNA
Rfam family: Bacterial small subunit ribosomal RNA
Source: RNAcentral